GACGAACGCUGGCGGCGUGCCUAAUACAUGCAAGUCGAACGCUUCUUUCCUCCCGAGUGCUUGCACUCAAUUGGAAAGAGGAGUGGCGGACGGGUGAGUAACACGUGGGUAACCUACCCAUCAGAGGGGGAUAACACUUGGAAACAGGUGCUAAUACCGCAUAACAGUUUAUGCCGCAUGGCAUAAGAGUGAAAGGCGCUUUCGGGUGUCGUUGAUGGAUGGACCCGCGGUGCAUUAGCUAGUUGGUGGGGUAACGGUUCACCAAGGCGACGAGUGAUAGCCGACGUGAGAGGGGGAUCGGCCACAUGGGGAGUGAGACACGGCCCAGACGCCUACGGGAGGCAGCAGUAGGGAAUCUUAGGCAAUGGACGAAAGUCUGACCGAGCAACGCCGCGUGAGUGAAGAAGGUUUUCGGAUCGUAAAACUCUGUUGUUAGAGAAGAACAAGGACGUUAGUAACUGAACGUCCCCUGACGGUAUCUAACCAGAAAGCCACGGCUAACUACGUG
Molecule: ribosomal RNA, 508 nt
Filed under: uncultured bacterium
Lineage: Bacteria
Description: partial 16S ribosomal RNA
Rfam family: Bacterial small subunit ribosomal RNA
Source: RNAcentral